Molecule: long non-coding RNA, 1648 nt
Filed under: Apteryx haastii (Great spotted kiwi)
Lineage: Eukaryota; Metazoa; Chordata; Aves; Apterygiformes; Apterygidae
Description: lncRNA (ENSAHAG00000004117.1)
Source: RNAcentral
CCCCAUCCCUGACUCCCAUCCCUGUCCCUGACUCCAUCCCCACUCUGGUCCCCUUCUGUCCCCAUCCCUGCUCCGUCCCUGGCCUUGGCCCCAACCCCGUCCCUCCAUCCCCACCCCAACCUCAUCCCAGCCCCGUCCUCAUCCCUGAUCCCCAUUUGUCCCCUUCCCUGUCCCCAUCCUCAUCCCUGGUCCCUGUUUGUCCCCAUCCCUGUCCCCAUCCUCAUCUCUGGCCCUUGUUUGUCCCCAUCCCUGAUCCCAUUCCCAUUCCUGGUCCCCAUUUGUCCCCAUCUUCAUCCCCGUCCCUGUCCCCAUCCUCAUCCCUGGUCCCUGUUUGUCCCCAUCUUUGUCCCCAUCCCUGUCCCCAUCCUCAUCCGUGGUCCGUUUGUCCCUGUCCCAGAACCCAUCCCCAUCCCUCAUCCCCAUUUGUCCCCAUCUCUGUCCCCAUUUUCCCCGUCCCCAUUUUCCCCAUCCCCGUCCCCUUGGCUCRGUCACCCCGAACCCUCCCGCCUGCGCGGCCCUGGCUCCCUAACGAGGGGCUCCCGGCGCCCGCUAACGAGGGGCAGGCGGACGAGGCCGGGCCGGGAUCGGGAGACGCUUCCCGUGGCCGGGCCCGGACGCCUGGGUCCCUCCAGGUCCCUCCUGCCUUGCUGCCGUGCCUCAGUUUCCCCGGUGCCCCUUCCUCCUUCCCUUCCUCUGCCUUUUUCACUCCCUUCUUCCUCCAUCCCCUCUUCUCUCUCGCCCAUUUAUUCUCCAUCCUUCUUUUCCUCCCUUCUUUUUCCUUCCCCUUUUCCUUUUCCUUAUUGCUUCUUCUCUAUCGCCUCCUUUCAUCCUGGCUCUCUCCCUCCAUCCUUCCCCUCCUCCCAGCCACUCCUCUUUCCUUUCCCUCUUUCUUCCCUCUUCUUCUUUCGUUCCCUUCUCUCCUCCCUCCUCCUUCCACCCCCUCGAUUUGGUCCCUUUCCUUCAUCUUUGAUCCUUCGUCCUUUGUGUCUUCCUCCCUUCUCAACUUUUCCCGUUUCUUUCUCUUCUCUUCACUCUUUUUCCCAAUUUGUUUCCUUUUCCUACCUUUUCUUUUCCUUUUUUCUACUUUUCCUUUUGCUUUUCCUCUUUCCUUUUCCUUCUUUCCCUUUCCCUUUUCCCUUUCCCUUUCCUUUCCUUUUCCUUUCCUUUUCCUUUCCUCUUCCCUUUUCCCCCUUUUCCUUUUCCCUUUCCUUUUCUCUUUCCUUUUUCUUCUUCUCUUUUCCCUUUUCUUAUUUUUCCUUUUCCUUUUUUCCUUUUCCUUUUUUCCUUUUCCUUUUUUCCUUUUCCUUUUCCUUGUCCUUUUUCCUUUUCCUUCUUUUUUUUCACUUUUGCUUUUCCUUUUUUUUCUCUUUUUAUUUUCCUUUUCCCUUUCCUUUUCCUCUUUUUCCUUUGCCUUUCCUUUUCCCUUUUCCUUUUCCCUUUCCCUUUUCCCUUUCCCUUUUCCCUUUUCCUUUUCCCUUUUCUUCUUUUCCCUUUUCUUCUUUUCCCUUUUCUUCUUUUCCCUUUUCUUCUUUUCCCCUUCCUUCUUUUCCCUUUCCUUCUUUUCCCUUUCCUUCUUUUCCCUUUCCUUUUUCACUUUUCCUUUUCCUUCUUUUUCUCUUUUCCCUUUCCUUCCUUNNNNNNNNNNNNN